Molecule: transfer RNA, 73 nt
Filed under: Canis lupus familiaris (dog)
Lineage: Eukaryota; Metazoa; Chordata; Mammalia; Carnivora; Canidae
Also listed under: 1 other name
Rfam family: tRNA
About the family: Transfer RNA (tRNA) molecules are approximately 80 nucleotides in length. Their secondary structure includes four short double-helical elements and three loops (D, anti-codon, and T loops). Further hydrogen bonds mediate the characteristic L-shaped molecular structure. tRNAs have two regions of fundamental functional importance: the anti-codon, which is responsible for specific mRNA codon recognition, and the 3' end, to which the tRNAs corresponding amino acid is attached (by aminoacyl-tRNA synthetases). tRNAs cope with the degeneracy of the genetic code in two manners: having more than one tRNA (with a specific anti-codon) for a particular amino acid; and 'wobble' base-pairing, i.e. permitting non-standard base-pairing at the 3rd anti-codon position.
Source: Rfam by way of RNAcentral
ACCUGGCUGGCUCAGUUGGUGGAGUAUGUGACUCUUGAUCUCAGAACUGUGGGUUUGAGCCCCACAUUGGGUU